UUUUUCAUUUUCAAGCUUAAAGCACAGAAAAAAUUAGUGUUUCAAAUGCUUAUAAAUUCUCUUCUUAGUGGACAAGACUGCAAGUCACACUGAACAGCAGAUUGUUGUCUCAAGCCAGUGCUGAUCAAUGACAGUUUAGCUGCAGUCUGUCAGAGAAGAGAGGAAAGAUGAGUCUCUCACAGAAACAGAGUGUAAGAUCAGACUCACAUGUGUCUGUGAAGAGUGACCAGUCAAAGGAUGACGGACCACACUUCAGUGAAGAAACAUCACAAAC
Long non-coding RNA from Carassius auratus (goldfish), 274 nucleotides. RefSeq lists it as uncharacterized. The transcript is spliced from 3 exons. The record is from RefSeq and is a predicted model, not a curated record. Lineage: Eukaryota; Metazoa; Chordata; Actinopteri; Cypriniformes; Cyprinidae.